This 253-nucleotide ribosomal RNA is filed under the name uncultured bacterium. RNAcentral's name for it is "partial 16S ribosomal RNA". It matches the Rfam family "Bacterial small subunit ribosomal RNA", at positions 524 to 776 of the family's 1533-position model. The record is from RNAcentral.
UACGUAGGGUGCAAGCGUUGUCCGGAAUUAUUGGGCGUAAAGAGCUCGUAGGCGGUCUGUCGCGUCUGCUGUGAAAACUCGGGGCUUAACCCCGGGCCUGCAGUGGGUACGGGCAGACUAGAGUGCGGUAGGGGAGACUGGAAUUCCUGGUGUAGCGGUGAAAUGCGCAGAUAUCAGGAGGAACACCGGUGGCGAAGGCGGGUCUCUGGGCCGUAACUGAUGCUGAGGAGCGAAAGCGUGGGGAGCGAACAGG